GCCAGCAGCCAUAUCACCCUGCAGCUCCCAGCUGGCAGCCCACUGAAGCUCAGCAGGUGUGAGCCUGGCCAGUACCUGGAUGGGAGACCUCCUGGGAAACACCAAGGUUGCUGCUGGAA
This is a ribosomal RNA of Lepisosteus oculatus (spotted gar), 119 nucleotides long. Lineage: Eukaryota; Metazoa; Chordata; Actinopteri; Semionotiformes; Lepisosteidae. The record is from Ensembl.